RNAcentral lists this ribosomal RNA (898 nucleotides) under uncultured bacterium. Its description in RNAcentral is "bacterial SSU rRNA". It matches the Rfam family "Bacterial small subunit ribosomal RNA", at positions 63 to 951 of the family's 1533-position model. The record is from RNAcentral.
CGAACGGCAGCACAGAGGACCUUGCUCCUUGGGUGGCGAGUGGCGGACGGGUGAGGAAUACAUCGGAAUCUACUUUUUCGUGGGGGAUAACGUGGGGAAACUUACGCUAAUACCGCAUACUACCUACAGGUGAAAGCGGGGGACCUUCGGGCCUUGCGCGAUUGAAUGACCCGAUGUCAGAUUAUCUAGUUGGCGGGGUAAAGGCCCACCAGGGCGACGAUCCGUAUCUGGUCUGAGAGGAUGAUCACCCACACUGGAACUGAGACACGGUCCACACUCCUACGGGAGGCAGCUGUGGGGAAUAUUGGACAAUGGGCGCAAGCCUGAUCCCCCAUACCGCGUGGGUGAAAAACGCCUUCGGGUUGUAAAGCCCUUUUGUUGGGAAAGAGAUCCAGCUGGCUAAUACCCGGUUGGGAUGACGGUACCCAAAAAAUAAGCACCGGCUAACUUCGUGCCAGCAGCCGCGGUAAUACGAAGGGUGCAAGCGUUACUCGGAAUUACUGGGCGUAAAGCGUGCGUAGGUGGUCUUUUAAGUCCUUUGUGAAACCCCUGGGCUCAACCUGAGAACUGCAGUGGAUACUGGGCGACUAUAGUGUGGUAGAGGGUAGCGGAAUUCGUGGUGUAGCAGUGAAAUGCGAGAGAUCAAGGAGAACAUCCAUGGACGAAGGCACCUACCUGGACCAACACUGACACUGAGGCACAAAGCGUGAGCAACAAACAGGAUUAAAUACCCUGGUACUCCACGCCCUAAACGAUGCAACUGGAUUGUGGGUGCAAUGUCGUCACGCACUAAACAAACUAACUCAUUAAAUCGCCGGCUGGGGAGUACGGUCCGAUAACUGAAAAUUAAAUGAAUCGACGGGCGGCCCACACAAUCGAUGAGUUAGUUGGUUUAUUU